Molecule: ribosomal RNA, 482 nt
Filed under: uncultured bacterium
Lineage: Bacteria
Description: partial 16S ribosomal RNA
Rfam family: Bacterial small subunit ribosomal RNA
Source: RNAcentral
AUUGAACGCUGGCGGCAUGCCUUACACAUGCAAGUCGAACGGUAACGGGCCUUCGGGUGCCGACGAGUGGCGCACGGGUGAGUAAUACAUCGGAACGUGCCCGAUCGUGGGGGAUAACGAGACGAAAGCUUUGCUAAUACCGCAUACGAUCUACGGAUGAAAGCAGGGGACCGCAAGGCCUUGCGCGGACGGAGCGGCCGAUGGCAGAUUAGGUAGUUGGUGGGAUAAAAGCUUACCAAGCCGACGAUCUGUAGCUGGUCUGAGAGGAUGAUCAGCCACACUGGGACUGAGACACGGCCCAGACUCCUACGGGAGGCAGCAGUGGGGAAUUUUGGACAAUGGGCGCAAGCCUGAUCCAGCCAUGCCGCGUGCAGGAUGAAGGCCUUCGGGUUGUAAACUGCUUUUGUACGGAACGAAAAGCCUUCUUUUAAUACAGGAGGGUCAUGACGGUACCGUAAGAAUAAGCACCGGCUAACUACGUG